GUUACAUUUGGCGCCCACGUUGGGACCCGGGUGUUCUCUGGCGGGUGAAAGUGAUUGCCCCCAGAACCUCGCCCCACAGGUGGGGACAAUGUGGUAGUGUAAGAUACAUGGCAUCCUACUAGCUUGGGCUAGUGGGUUAACCCUUUAGCUCGAUCGGUAGAGCACUGGACUGGCAAGCCAGAGGUCCCGGGUUCGAUCCCCAGCAGAGGCAAUAAAUUGUCUCCGUUACAU
Long non-coding RNA from Saccostrea cuccullata (small rock oyster), 231 nucleotides. RefSeq lists it as uncharacterized. The record is from RefSeq and is a predicted model, not a curated record. NCBI's taxonomy places the organism in Eukaryota, Metazoa, Mollusca, Bivalvia, Ostreida, Ostreidae. The transcript is spliced from 2 exons.